CUACGGGGCGCUGCAGUGAGGAAUAUUGCACAAUGGGGGGAACCCUGAUGCAGCAACGCCGCGUGGAGGAUGACGCAUUUCGGUGUGUAAACUCCUUUUAUAUGUCAAGAAAAUGACGGUAGCAUAUGAAUAAGCACCGGCUGACUCCGUGCCAGCAGCCGCGGUAAUACGGAGGGUGCAAGCGUUACUCGGAAUCACUGGGCGUAAAGGACGCGUAGGCGGGUUGGAAAGUCAGGUGUGAAAUCCUACAGCCUAACUGUAGAACUGCACUUGAAACUUCUAAUCUAGAGUGUGGGAGGGGGAGAUGGAAUUAGUGGUGUAGGGGUAAAAUCCGUAGAUAUCACUAGGAAUACCUAAAGCGAAGGCGAUCUCCUGGAACAUUACUGACGCUAAGGCGUGAAAGCGUGGGGAGCAAACAGGAUUAGAUACCCCAGUAGUC
Molecule: ribosomal RNA, 439 nt
Filed under: uncultured bacterium
Lineage: Bacteria
Description: partial 16S ribosomal RNA
Rfam family: Bacterial small subunit ribosomal RNA
Source: RNAcentral